GACGAACGCUGGCGGCGUGCUUAACACAUGCAAGUCGAACGGAAAGGCCCUGCUUGCAGGGUACUCGAGUGGCGAACGGGUGAGUAACACGUGGGUGAUCUGCCCUGCACUUCGGGAUAAGCCUGGGAAACUGGGUCUAAUACCGGAUAGGAGCCAUUUUUCGUGUGAUGGUUGGAAAGUUUUUUCGGUGUAGGAUGAGCUCGCGGCCUAUCAGCUUGUUGGUGGGGUAAUGGCCUACCAAGGCGGCGGCGGGUAGCCGGCCUGAGAGGGUGGACGGCCACCAUGGGACUGGGAUACGGCCCAGACUCCUACGGGAGGCAGCAGUGGGGAAUAUUGGACCAUGGGCGCGAGCCUGAUGCAGCGACGCCGCGUGGGGGAUGACGGCCUUCGGGUUGUAAACUCCUUUCGCUAGGGACGAAGCUUUUUGUGACGGUACCUAGAUAAGAAGCACCGGCUAACUACGUG
Molecule: ribosomal RNA, 465 nt
Filed under: uncultured bacterium
Lineage: Bacteria
Description: partial 16S ribosomal RNA
Rfam family: Bacterial small subunit ribosomal RNA
Source: RNAcentral